Molecule: long non-coding RNA, 1248 nt
Organism: Mytilus trossulus (common blue mussel)
Lineage: Eukaryota; Metazoa; Mollusca; Bivalvia; Mytilida; Mytilidae
Exons: 2
Source: RefSeq, a predicted model, not a curated record
UCUUUACUUGUCGCAUGUCGGCAUCUUCAAAUGGCAAAUUUAUUUUACACAAAUUCGUUGACAUGCCAUGAUGGUAGAUGGACACUACAUCACAAUAUAAGCUGAGCUGGAAAUUACAAUUGAUAAGAUAUCACAUUGGUUUGAGCAUGAUUCCCAGCAAGAUUAUGAAGGGGCAUAUAUAUCAUAUAUACAUAGGAAAUAUAUAGUGUCACUAAAUUACUCUCAUACGGUACCUCACCUCUGUAGCUGUAAAUUGCGAAACGGUGGAUUCAUUCAUAAUUUUGAGUUACUUAUUGCAAUUGGAAAUAACGUUGAUAAAGCUAACAGCAUUAUGCCAUGAUGUUGAUGGGAUGUUCUGAUUGGACAAAAAGGAAUUUGUGAAUUGAACAAAUAGCAAACUUGAAAUUCAUAGGAAAAAAAGUAGGAAAUUGGAAUAAUGAAAAUUCAUAGUUUCAGUGAUUAUCUUACAAUCAUCAUGAUCAUUGUCAAUACUACAAGUGCAUCAUCAUGAUCAUAUAUAUCUGAAUUCACCUUGGAUAAUUAUACAUUUAAAAUAAGAAUUUGGAUAUAAUAAGAAUUUCUGUGCUGGCGUUGCUACUGUUGGCUUCAUGUACCACCAGCUGGGAGUGUUAAACCUUUUUGACCUUUCGUGAGGGUCUGUCACGGUCCGUCACAAUUGGUUAGUGUCAUAUAUACAUGAUUAUGGAAGUUUCACCAACCUAGACAAGCUUUACAGCCCUGGCACGGUUGUUGGUUGCACUUAGAGUCAAAUGACAGCUUGCUGUAUACAUUUGUAGUUCAAAUAGUCUGAAUGAAUCUACAUGUAUGGUGACAAUCUUCUAAAUUGCUGUUCAUUCUGAAACUGGCAUUUUAUACUAGUACAUGUAGUAGUCGAACAUAUUAAACAAUACAUGUACUUCAAAGUAUCAAUUUAUUUUGUCUCGCCUUACAUGAAAGUCAUGAAAGUUGGUUGUAUAUAUGCAAGAAAUAUGUAUUACAGUCUUGGGGUGAUGAUGUAAGCUAUUUUUAAUAGAGCUUUACAUUUAUAAAAGCUAAAAGAGCUGGUUCAGGGAAUGAGUGUAAAAUAUACUGUUACAUUUUAUUACAUGUAAUUGGAUACAUUUUAUUGUAUAUGAGUACCUUGCAAGGUCUACUUGUCUAUCAGGUUAGGUUGACCUGACCUUAAUUUUAUUUCAUGGAUAAUCUAAGUGAUUUAGGUUAUUUCAGUUUAAUACAAUGUUAACAUGG